GAUGAACGCUGGCGGCGUGCCUAAUACAUGCAAGUCGAGCGAACAGACGAGGAGCUUGCUCCUCUGACGUUAGCGGCGGACGGGUGAGUAACACGUGGAUAACCUACCUCUAAGACUGGGAUAACUUCGUGAAACCGGAGCUAAUACCGGAGAAUAUAUUGAACCGCAUGGUUCAAUAGUGAAUGACGGUUUUGCUGUCACUUAUAGAUGGAUCCGCGCCGCAUUAGCUAGUUGGUAAGGUAACGGCUUACCAAGGCGACGAUGCGUAGCCGACCUGAGAGGGUGAUCGGCCACACUGGAACUGAGACACGGUCCAGACUCCUACGGGAGGCAGCAGUAGGGAAUCUUCGGCAAUGGGCGAAAGCCUGACGGAGCCACGCCGCGUGAGUGAUGAAGGUCUUCGGAUCGUAAAACUCUGUUAUUGGGGAAGAACAAAUGUGUAAGUAACUAUGCACGUCUUGACGGUACCUAAUCAGAAAGCCACGGCUAACUACGUG
This 497-nucleotide ribosomal RNA is filed under the name uncultured bacterium. RNAcentral's name for it is "partial 16S ribosomal RNA". It matches the Rfam family "Bacterial small subunit ribosomal RNA", at positions 28 to 507 of the family's 1533-position model. The record is from RNAcentral.